CCUACGGGAGGCAGCAGUGAGGAAUAUUGGUCAAUGGGCGCGAGCCUGAACCAGCCAAGUAGCGUGAAGGAUGACUGCCCUACGGGUUGUAAACUUCUUUUAUAAAGGAAUAAAGUGAGGCACGUGUGCCUUUUUGUAUGUACUUUAUGAAUAAGGAUCGGCUAACUCCGUGCCAGCAGCAGCGGUAAUACGGAGGAUCCGAGCGUUAUCCGGCUUUAGUGGGUUGAAAGGGAGCGUAGAUGGGUUGUUAAGUCAGUUGUUAAAGUUUGCGGCUCAACCGUAAAAUUGCAAUUGAUACUGGCAGUCUGGAGUACAGUUGAGGUAGGCGGAAUUCGUGGUGUAGCGGUGAAAUGCUUAGAUAUCACGAAGAACUUCGAUUGCGAAGGCAGCUUACUAAACUGCAACUGACAUUGAUGCUCGAAAGUGUGGGUAGCAAACAGGAUUAGAUACCCGGGUAGUC
Molecule: ribosomal RNA, 460 nt
Filed under: uncultured bacterium
Lineage: Bacteria
Description: partial 16S ribosomal RNA
Rfam family: Bacterial small subunit ribosomal RNA
Source: RNAcentral